RNAcentral lists this ribosomal RNA (900 nucleotides) under Staphylococcus aureus. RNAcentral describes it as "bacterial SSU rRNA". It matches the Rfam family "Bacterial small subunit ribosomal RNA", at positions 108 to 994 of the family's 1533-position model. Lineage: Bacteria; Bacillati; Bacillota; Bacilli; Caryophanales; Staphylococcaceae. The record is from RNAcentral.
GAGUAACACGUGGAUAACCUACCUAUAAGACUGGGAUAACUUCGGGAAACCGGAGCUAAUACCGGAUAAUAUUUUGAACCGCAUGGUUCAAAAGUGAAAGACGGUCUUGCUGUCACUUAUAGAUGGAUCCGCGCUGCAUUAGCUAGUUGGUAAGGUAACGGCUUACCAAGGCAACGAUGCAUAGCCGACCUGAGAGGGUGAUCGGCCACACUGGAACUGAGACACGGUCCAGACUCCUACGGGAGGCAGCAGUAGGGAAUCUUCCGCAAUGGGCGAAAGCCUGACGGAGCAACGCCGCGUGAGUGAUGAAGGUCUUCGGAUCGUAAAACUCUGUUAUUAGGGAAGAACAUAUGUGUAAGUAACUGUGCACAUCUUGACGGUACCUAAUCAGAAAGCCACGGCUAACUACGUGCCAGCAGCCGCGGUAAUACGUAGGUGGCAAGCGUUAUCCGGAAUUAUUGGGCGUAAAGCGCGCGUAGGCGGUUUUUUAAGUCUGAUGUGAAAGCCCACGGCUCAACCGUGGAGGGUCAUUGGAAACUGGAAAACUUGAGUGCAGAAGAGGAAAGUGGAAUUCCAUGUGUAGCGGUGAAAUGCGCAGAGAUAUGGAGGAACACCAGUGGCGAAGGCGACUUUCUGGUCUGUAACUGACGCUGAUGUGCGAAAGCGUGGGGAUCAAACAGGAUUAGAUACCCUGGUAGUCCACGCCGUAAACGAUGAGUGCUAAGUGUUAGGGGGUUUCCGCCCCUUAGUGCUGCAGCUAACGCAUUAAGCACUCCGCCUGGGGAGUACGACCGCAAGGUUGAAACUCAAAGGAAUUGACGGGGACCCGCACAAGCGGUGGAGCAUGUGGUUUAAUUCGAAGCAACGCGAAGAACCUUACCAAAUCUUGACAUCCUUUGA